RNAcentral lists this small nucleolar RNA (93 nucleotides) under Sparus aurata (gilthead seabream). RNAcentral describes it as "Small nucleolar RNA SNORD14 (ENSSAUG00010006090.1)". It matches the Rfam family "Small nucleolar RNA SNORD14". Rfam says of the family: U14 small nucleolar RNA (U14 snoRNA) is required for early cleavages of eukaryotic precursor rRNAs. In yeasts, this molecule possess a stem-loop region (known as the Y-domain) which is essential for function. A similar structure, but with a different consensus sequence, is found in plants, but is absent in vertebrates. Lineage: Eukaryota; Metazoa; Chordata; Actinopteri; Spariformes; Sparidae. The record is from Rfam by way of RNAcentral.
UCGCUGUGAUGACAUUAUUUCCUGCCAUUCGUAGUUUCCACCAGAGGUCGAAAGACCAAAGAUGGCCCAAUCCUUCCUUGGAUGUCUGAGCGA